GGGUCAGUAGGUUGGUCGUGCCACCGGUACGUACUGGUCUCACUGAUUCCUCCUUCCUGAAGAACCGUAAUGCCAUUAAUUUGGUGUUGCGGGGAAACAAGACUGUUACUUUGAAAAAAUUAGAGUGUUUAAAGCAAGCUAACGCUUGAAUACAUUAGCGUGGAAUAAUGAAAUAGGACGAUCGAUCCUAUUUUGUUGGUUUCUAGGAUUGACGUA
This 216-nucleotide ribosomal RNA is filed under the name Glomeromycotina sp. RNAcentral's name for it is "partial small subunit ribosomal RNA". The stretch from base 40 to 216 matches the Rfam family "Eukaryotic small subunit ribosomal RNA", at positions 686 to 864 of the family's 1831-position model. Lineage: Eukaryota; Fungi; Glomeromycota. The record is from RNAcentral.